Molecule: ribosomal RNA, 484 nt
Filed under: uncultured bacterium
Lineage: Bacteria
Description: bacterial SSU rRNA
Rfam family: Bacterial small subunit ribosomal RNA
Source: RNAcentral
UUUCGCAAUGCCCGAAAGGGUGACGAAGCGACGCCGCGUGCGGGAAGAAGGCCUUCGGGUUGUAAACCGCUGUCGGGAGUUAAGAAAUGUAAGGAUGUUAAUAGCAUCUUUGCUUGACUAAGGCUCCGGAGGAAGCCACGGCUGACUCUGUGCCAGCAGCCGCGGUAAUACAGAGGCGGCAAGCGUUGUUCGGAAUUAUUGGGCGUAAAGAGCACGUAGGCGGCUGUGUAAGUCGGUUGUGAAAGCCUUCCGCUCAACGGGAGAACAGCAUCCGAUACUGCAUGGCUUGAGUGCGGGAGGGGAGAGUGGAACUUCUGGUGGAGCGGUGGAAUGCGUAGAUAUCAGAAGGAACGCCGGCGGCGAAAGCGGCUCUCUGGCCCAUAACUGACGCUGAGUGUGCGAAAGCUAGGGGAGCAAACGGGAUUAGAUACCCCGGUAGUCCUAGCCGUAAACGAUGGGCACUAAGUAGAGGGGUUUUAAUCUC